CUGUUACAGUGCAGGUUUGGUAAGCACCCACAGUAUGCAACUCCCCUGUCAUAGUGCAGGUGUGGUAAGCGCCUACAGUAUACAACACCCCUGACUGUGACAGUACAGGUUUGGUAAGCGCCUACAGUAUACAACACCCCCAUACUGUCACAGUGCAGGUUUGGUAAGCGCCUACAGUAUACAACACCCCCAUACUGUCACAGUGCAGGUUUGGUAAGCGCCUACAGUAUACAACACCCCCAUACUGUCACAGUGCAGGUUUGGUAACCACCUAUAGUAUACAACACCCCCAUACUGUCACAGUGCAGGUUUGGUAACUGCCUACAGUAUACAACACCCCCAUACUGUCACAGUGCAGGUUUGGUAAGCACCUACAGUAUACAACACUCCCUUACUGUCACAGUGCAGGUUUGGUAAGCGCCUACAGUAUACAACACCCCCAUACUGUCACAGUGCAGGUUUGGUAAGCACCUACAGUAUACAACUCCCCUGUCACUGUGCAGAUGUGGUAAGAACCCACUGUAUACAACUCCCUCAUAUUGUCACAUUGCAGAUUUGCUAAGUGCCUACAGGUGUAGCAAUUGGUAAAAUAAAUGCCACUUAGUCUUUAGCUAGGUACUAGCUAGUCUAGAGUCAGAGAUCAAAUAGAGAUAGUACAAUGUGUGAACUGCUUUAUAUUAUUCCUAAAAAAUUUAUUCUUUAAGGAGAGGAGGAGCCAAGUGUAGACAGUCAUAGAAUGGCAAAGGCCAGCAGGUCCUCGUGUAGAACAUUGAUCUUAGCAGUCCAAACUUGUAAACGGCUAAGAAGGAAACAAAGACCUUCCUUCUACAUUUAUUUUAGAUAGAAUAUUGUGCUAUUUAUGUGAUGAGAUUCUGUACACCAGUUACAGUGAAGGAAUGAAAUUUUCAUCUAUCACUUGGAUAAGCCCCACCAAUAUGAUGAGUUGAAUAAGUAGUACAUGAUACCAUUUAUAUAAUGUUUAAAAGCAAUUUUAUUUAAAUGUGCAUAUAUGUAAUAAAAAUAAAAAGCCAUGGGAAGGAAGGGGACACAUCAAUUUCAGGAUACUGAUAACACCCCUCAGCAGGAGGAGAAGGCAAUAAGAUGGGAAAAGGGUGCUCUCUCUCUUUAAUGUGUUUUUCUUGAAUCAGUUCUCCAAACCAGUGUGGCCAAAAGUUAACUUUUACUAAUUCUAGAUAUUAGGUACCUGUGUGUUCAUUAGUUUAUUCUCUGUACUUUUCUGUUUGAAACAGU
Orcinus orca (killer whale) is the source of this 1251-nucleotide long non-coding RNA. RefSeq lists it as uncharacterized. Lineage: Eukaryota; Metazoa; Chordata; Mammalia; Artiodactyla; Delphinidae. The record is from RefSeq and is a predicted model, not a curated record. The transcript is spliced from 3 exons.